This 253-nucleotide ribosomal RNA is filed under the name uncultured bacterium. RNAcentral's name for it is "partial 16S ribosomal RNA". It matches the Rfam family "Bacterial small subunit ribosomal RNA", at positions 524 to 776 of the family's 1533-position model. The record is from RNAcentral.
UACGUAGGGGGCUAGCGUUGUCCGGAAUCAUUGGGCGUAAAGCGCGUGUAGGCGGCCCGGUAAGUCCGCUGUGAAAGUCGGGGGCUCAACCCUCGAAAGCCGGUGGAUACUGUCGGGCUCGAGUGCGGAAGAGGCGAGUGGAAUUCCUGGUGUAGCGGUGAAAUGCGCAGAUAUCAGGAGGAACACCGAUUGCGAAGGCAGCUCGCUGGGACGUUACUGACGCUGAGACGCGAAAGCGUGGGGAGCAAACAGG